RNAcentral lists this non-coding RNA (28 nucleotides) under Homo sapiens (human). Lineage: Eukaryota; Metazoa; Chordata; Mammalia; Primates; Hominidae. The record is from RNAcentral.
UGGGAUGGGAUAGUCAUCCUUGGGAGGC